UCAAAAAAAGUUCUUAGGUAAUACUAACUUUGGGAGUUAGAGGGUAGCGGAAUUUUGCUAUUUUUGA
RNAcentral lists this transfer RNA (67 nucleotides) under Spurilla braziliana. RNAcentral's name for it is "tRNA-Pro". The record is from RNAcentral. Lineage: Eukaryota; Metazoa; Mollusca; Gastropoda; Nudibranchia; Aeolidiidae.